GACGAACGCUGGCGGCGUGCCUAAUACAUGCAAGUAGAACGCACAGGAUGCACCGUAGUUUACUACACCGUAUUCUGUGAGUUGCGAACGGGUGAGUAACGCGUAGGUAACCUGCCUGGUAGCGGGGGAUAACUAUUGGAAACGAUAGCUAAUACCGCAUAAGAACAUUUACUGCAAGGUAGAUGUUUAAAAGGUGCAAAAGCAUCACUACCAGAUGGACCUGCGUUGUAUUAGCUAGUUGGUGAGGUAACGGCUCACCAAGGCAACGAUACAUAGCCGACCUGAGAGGGUGAUCGGCCACACUGGGACUGAGACACGGCCCAGACUCCUACGGGAGGCAGCAGUAGGGAAUCUUCGGCAAUGGGGGGAACCCUGACCGAGCAACGCCGCGUGAGUGAAGAAGGUUUUCGGAUCGUAAAGNUCUGUUGUUAAGGAAGAACGUGUGUGAGAG
This 451-nucleotide ribosomal RNA is filed under the name uncultured bacterium. Its description in RNAcentral is "bacterial SSU rRNA". It matches the Rfam family "Bacterial small subunit ribosomal RNA", at positions 28 to 461 of the family's 1533-position model. The record is from RNAcentral.